GAGUCGGUGGCAUAGUUGUUGGUUAUCACAUCUGUCUUGCAUUUUGACCUCUGUCUUCACGAGCACAGAAGGCCCCCACUUCGAGCUUGAGCCAACUCA
Molecule: non-coding RNA, 99 nt
Organism: Termitomyces sp. Mi166#008
Lineage: Eukaryota; Fungi; Basidiomycota; Agaricomycetes; Agaricales; Lyophyllaceae
Source: the annotation of a GenBank genome assembly